GAACGCGAAUGGCACUGCUAUGUAAGUAGCAGUAUGUCUGUUUGAGAAUCGCAAAACACGAUCAACUCUAGUUAAGAGUUGGGAUUGACCUCAUAUGCUUUCUAGCGUAUCUGGUUUGAAUGUAUUAAGUUGAUGAGCUUCCCAACAUUGCUCAAUGUGUGCUAGCGAGACAGUCGUCCCGAUCUCACAUUAUAGUUUUGUUGCAAGGUUCUGUGCACAACUUUUUAUUUAUUUUAUCAAGUACGAUCUCAAAUCAGGCAAGAUUACCCGCUGAACUUAAGC
This 282-nucleotide unclassified non-coding RNA is filed under the name uncultured fungus. RNAcentral describes it as "sequence contains ITS2". The record is from RNAcentral. Lineage: Eukaryota; Fungi.